Molecule: ribosomal RNA, 477 nt
Filed under: uncultured bacterium
Lineage: Bacteria
Description: partial 16S ribosomal RNA
Rfam family: Bacterial small subunit ribosomal RNA
Source: RNAcentral
GAUUAACGCUGGCGGCGUGCAUAACACAUGCAAGUCGAACGAUGAAACUUAACUGAUUUCUUCGGAAUGAUUUUAAGUGGAUUAGUGGCGGACGGGUGAGUAACGCGUGAGUAACCUGCCUUGGAGAAGGGGAUAGCCUUUGGAAACGAAGAAUAAUACCCUAUGAUAUGAUAAUAUCUCAUGAUAUUAUCAUCAAAGAUUUAUCGCUCUAAGAUGGACUUGCGUCUGAUUAGUUAGUUGGUGAGGUAACAGCUCACCAAGGCAGCGAUCAGUAGCCGGCUUGAGAGAGUGUACGGCCACAUUGGGACUGCGACACGGCCCAGACUCCUACGGGAGGCAGCAGUGGGGAAUUUUGCACAAUGGGGGAAACCCUGAUGCAGCGACGCCGCGUGAUUUAGAAGGCCUUCGGGUUGUAAAAAUCUUUUGUAUGGGAAGAAAAUGACAGUACCAUACGAAUAAGGACCGGCUAAUUACGUG